Hypomesus transpacificus is the source of this 721-nucleotide long non-coding RNA. RefSeq lists it as uncharacterized. The transcript is spliced from 3 exons. The record is from RefSeq and is a predicted model, not a curated record. Lineage: Eukaryota; Metazoa; Chordata; Actinopteri; Osmeriformes; Osmeridae.
UCUGAUGAAAUGUAAUACUGAUGCUGAUUGGCAGAUAAUGACAAGGAUGAUGAUGAUGAUGAUGAGGAUGACAGUAAAGAAUGUUCACUCAGUAUUGGAUGCAAGCAUUGUCGGCUGUGUGUGGUUCAUGUCUGUACCAGCAGAGGGAGCCCUCACUCUUUAUAACCUACAUCCACUGACAACGGUUCAUCCAUCAUUUGAUCAAUAUAUUUGAUGGUCUGUUCUACCUUCAUUAGGUUAUAAAGUCACACAGCAAUAAGUAUGUAUUAUAUACUGCACAAAAUGCAGCUCAAUGUUGGAGUGUUAUGAUGGAUGAAUUACCGACAUAUUUUCAAGAACCCUUUCUCUGCCCGCAGCACUGGAUCCUGUUAACCUCCAGUCCUUUGGCAUUGCUGUUUUUCUCAUCUGACAGCGCACUUAGCCCAGUCAAGUAUGUCCCAGUAGAGGGUCAUACUGGAUAUUCAAUGGAACUUAUAGACAGUGUGUCUGGUCCCUCAGGGACUAAGGGAACUGAAUGGGAGGAUGCCCCAUAAACAGCAUAAUGAUGAUUAAUGCGCCUAGGGUUACGUAACCACUCUAUUGUGUAAAAUCUUGAGGUGUAAAGACAAACUAGAAUGUACUGAUCCUUUUUUAAAGUCGAUCCAUUCAGUUUCUUUGAAGCGAAUCACUUUAGUGACAAUUUGUAAAGGUUAAAGGACAGUUAAUCUUCACACAGCCUCAC